CGGCCCACGCGGCGGCGGGGGGGGGGGUACGGAGAGCCGCGGGGGCCACUCGCCCGCGCCCUGCGCUGGAGCCGGCGAGGGGAGGGGAUGCGCGAGCGGGGUCUCCCCGGCCGCUUGGUACGGCCUGGGCGUGGCGCCGCAGGGGCUGCCGGGAGCGCGGGGCCCCGCGCCUGCGCAGUGGGAGCGGCGAGGAGGGGGCUGGGGCCGGCAGCAGCAGAGCGGCGGGGUGUUGGUCACCGGGCAGCCGCCAGGCUUUUCUUUCCUUUUUCUUUUUUUAAGUAUAACUGGGACAGCGGCUCGUUCCACGUCUGGCACAGCUUGACCACAGCCACAGCUCUGUCUGAAAUACCCUGCCAUAUCUGAACCAUGAACACCUUGUCCAAUGCGCCAAAUGUUUUGUCGCCUUCUUGUGGCAUCUGUGGAGUAUUCCUGCAUGAGUCUUCGUUUUCCCUACAACUUUCUUUUUCAACCUAUGAUAACUCCUGUUUUCUCUUACUGAAUCAUCCUGUGGUGUCUUCAUAGAAACCAGACCUCAUUAUUUGACCAGGUGAAUUGUUAUUACUCAUCACAGGCAGCUUACCUGCAGUCAGUAAGUCAGACUGCUUCACCCUUCGACAGUCUGAGCUUCUCUAUAGUGCUUGGGAAAGUGUUUGCAUUUUGCGAGAUGCUUGCUGAGAUUCUUUUUCUUUGCAAAGUGCUUACUUAUCCCAACUGGCAGCUAAACAUAUGGCAAAUUUUUUUCUUUUGUGUCCAACUCUCAGUUGGUCAAAACUGCGUUAUCUGAGGAAACAGCAAUCUAGCUGCAGAAAGACAUAUUGUUGAGCUAUAUUCAGCUAUUUGUUCCUAUUAUUGUUCGGUUAUUUAUCAAGUUUUUAACUAAUUCUCAUUUUCAUUCACACUCUUGGUCCUGUGUCAGUACCAAUGGAUGAAACAAUUUCUGCCAAGACUAAUAAUGAAUCAGAAAUGAGCCAUGGCAUGGUCUUCUAUUUAGAGAUGGUGGUAUAACUGAACAUGUUUUUAGGUGGUGGGCCCAUGAGUUAAAGGAUAGCCUACUAGCAUCCCUACCAAUUUUUUCAAAUAACAAAAUAACUGUACAGCAUGAGGAGAAGAUUCCUAUUUGUAGAAGCUUCUGGCAUGGAAGCAUUUCAGUCCACCACCAGAUGACACUCAAGGAUUUGGCAGCAUCCUCAAAGAAAGUUGGUUAAAAAAAAAAAAAAAAAAGACCUAGCUAUGGUAUAUUUGCAGCGCUAGCAUUGUGAGCUGCAACUUAUCUUCAGGGUUUUUCUUUAAGAUGCAUGUUUUUAGCAUUUACCUUAAUCAUGCAGUGAUGCUUUUACUGCUAGCAUGUGUUUUGAAAUAUAUAUGGUAUUAGGUUUAUGCUGUGCACACACCUGCUAACAGCCUUCUUUGUUCUGUCAUAUUCAAGACAAGAGUCCAUGAAAUAGCCUAAAAAUAAUGUAUUUACUUAGUAUGGGAAAAGACUGAUCAGUACAUGGUACAUAGAAAACCCUCUUAAAGAAGCAACAAGUUGAUUAAAUAAAGAUUUACAAAACAGUUCCUUAGCCA
This 1566-nucleotide long non-coding RNA is filed under the name Apteryx rowi (Okarito brown kiwi). Its description in RNAcentral is "lncRNA (ENSARWG00000017294.1)". Lineage: Eukaryota; Metazoa; Chordata; Aves; Apterygiformes; Apterygidae. The record is from RNAcentral.